Molecule: long non-coding RNA, 201 nt
Filed under: Elaeis guineensis (African oil palm)
Lineage: Eukaryota; Viridiplantae; Streptophyta; Magnoliopsida; Arecales; Arecaceae
Description: long non-coding RNA (EGUI_LNC030124)
Source: RNAcentral
UCCAUUCAGUUGCUUGUCUCAUCGUGAAAUAUGGUGGAAGUGAUUCGUAUUGUAUGUUUCACGUGAGAGAAUGAUUGAUCUUAUUUUACAACGUGAAUUGUUGAAUCACAUUUUGCAUAAUUAUAAUUUUUAAAAUACUUCGAUCUUUUCUUUGCAUCCGUCAUAAUAGGUCAUGAAGCAUACAUGAUUCAAUACUUCACA